This 253-nucleotide ribosomal RNA is filed under the name uncultured bacterium. RNAcentral's name for it is "partial 16S ribosomal RNA". It matches the Rfam family "Bacterial small subunit ribosomal RNA", at positions 524 to 776 of the family's 1533-position model. The record is from RNAcentral.
UACGUAGGGUGCGAGCGUUAAUCGGAAUUACUGGGCGUAAAGCGUGCGCAGGCGGUUGUGCAAGACAGAUGUGAAAUCCCCGGGCUCAACCUGGGAACUGCAUUUGUGACUGCACGGCUGGAGUGCGGCAGAGGGGGAUGGAAUUCCGCGUGUAGCAGUGAAAUGCGUAGAUAUGCGGAGGAACACCGAUGGCGAAGGCAGCCCCCUGGGAUAACACUGACGCUCAUGCACGAAAGCGUGGGGAGCAAACAGG